UAGAUACCCCGGUAGUCCAUGCCGUAAACGAUGUCAACUAACUGUUGGGACCUUUAGGUCUUAGUGGUGGAGCUAACGUAUUAAGUUGACCGCCUGGGGAGUACGGCCGCAAGGCUAAAACUCAAAUGAAUUGACGGGGGCCCGCACAAGCGGUGGAGCAUGUGGUUUAAUUCGAUGCAACGCGAAGAACCUUACCUACCCUUGACAUCCUAAGAAUCUAUUAGAGGUAGUAGAGUGCCUUCGGGAACUUAGAGACAGGUGCUGCAUGGCUGUCGUCAGCUCGUGUUGUGAAAUGUUGGGUUAAGUCCCGUAACGAGCGCAACCCUUAUCCUUAGUUGCCAGCACGUAAUGGUGGGAACUCUAGGGAGACUGCCGGUGAUAAAUCGGAGGAAGGUGGGGACGACGUCAAGUCAUCAUGGCCCUUAUGGGUAGGGCUACACACGUGCUACAAUGGCCAGUACAGAGGGCUGCAAACUUGCGAAAGUAAGCAAAUCCCAGAAAGCUGGUCCUAGUCCGGAUUGGAGUCUGCAACUCGACUCCAUGAAGUCGGAAUCGCUAGUAAUCGCGAAUCAGAAUGUCGCGGUGAAUACGUUCCCGGGCCUUGUACACACCGCCCGUCACACCAUGGGAGUGGGUUGCAAAAGAAGUGGGUAGUCUAACCUUCGGGAGGGCGCUCACCACUUUGUGAUUCAUGACUGGGGUGAAGUCGUAACAAGGUA
Molecule: ribosomal RNA, 719 nt
Filed under: uncultured bacterium
Lineage: Bacteria
Description: bacterial SSU rRNA
Rfam family: Bacterial small subunit ribosomal RNA
Source: RNAcentral